CCUACGGGUGGCAGCAGUGGGGAAUAUUGGACAAUGGGGGCAACCCUGAUCCAGCCAUGCCGCGUGUGUGAAGAAGGCCCUCGGGUUGUAAAGCACUUUCAGUGAGGAAGAACGCCUGGUGGUUAAUACCCAUCAGGAAAGACAUCACUCACAGAAGAAGCACCGGCUAACUCCGUGCCAGCAGCCGCGGUAAUACGGAGGGUGCGAGCGUUAAUCGGAAUUACUGGGCGUAAAGCGCGCGUAGGUGGCUUGAUAAGCCGGUUGUGAAAGCCCCGGGCUCAACCUGGGAACGGCAUCCGGAACUGUCAAGCUAGAGUGCAGGAGAGGAAGGUAGAAUUCCCGGUGUAGCGGUGAAAUGCGUAGAGAUCGGGAGGAAUACCAGUGGCGAAGGCGGCCUUCUGGACUGACACUGACACUGAGGUGCGAAAGCGUGGGUAGCAAACAGGAUUGGAUACCCUAGUAGUC
This 465-nucleotide ribosomal RNA is filed under the name Vreelandella stevensii. RNAcentral's name for it is "partial 16S ribosomal RNA". It matches the Rfam family "Bacterial small subunit ribosomal RNA", at positions 338 to 795 of the family's 1533-position model. The record is from RNAcentral. Lineage: Bacteria; Pseudomonadati; Pseudomonadota; Gammaproteobacteria; Oceanospirillales; Halomonadaceae.